This 478-nucleotide ribosomal RNA is filed under the name uncultured bacterium. RNAcentral describes it as "partial 16S ribosomal RNA". It matches the Rfam family "Bacterial small subunit ribosomal RNA", at positions 28 to 523 of the family's 1533-position model. The record is from RNAcentral.
GACGAACGCUGGCGGCGUGCUUAACACAUGCAAGUCGAACGGUAAGGCCCUUCGGGGUACACGAGUGGCGAACGGGUGAGUAACACGUGGGUGAUCUGCCCUGCACUUCGGGAUAAGCCUGGGAAACUGGGUCUAAUACCGGAUAGGACCACUGCCUGCAUGGGUGGUGGUGGAAAGCUUUUGCGGGGUGGGAUGGGCCCGCGGCCUAUUAGCUUGUUGGUGGGGUGAUGGGCUAGCAAGGCGAAGGAGGGUAGCCAGCCUGGGAGGGGGACCGGACACGAUGGUACUGAGGUACGGCCCAGACUCCUAGGGGAGGCAGCAGUGGGGAAGAUUGCCCAAUGGGCGCAAGCCUGAUGCAGCGACGCCGCGUGAGGGAUGACGGCCGUCGAGUUGUAAACCUCUUUCAGCACCGACGAAGCGCAAGUGACGGUAGGUGCAGAAGAAGGACCGGCCAACUACGUGCCAGCAGCCGCAGUAA